Esox lucius (northern pike) is the source of this 8242-nucleotide long non-coding RNA. RefSeq lists it as uncharacterized. The record is from RefSeq and is a predicted model, not a curated record. NCBI's taxonomy places the organism in Eukaryota, Metazoa, Chordata, Actinopteri, Esociformes, Esocidae. The transcript has 5 exons.
UCACUUUUCAGGGCUUGUGCAGCACGCUUGCUCACAAGACGCCGACUGAGUUAGAUACCGGACAGCCAUGGUUUUGGAUGAUAUGCUAGGAAGAUUUGAUCUUGUAGUUUGUUUGUUUUUUGUCUCAGUUGUAGUGUAAAUGCAGCAAAUACAGGCCAUGGAAUUUGACCGUAAUCCAUCACCAGUAAAGGUAAACCAGUAAACGCGGUUUUAGUUGUUUGCUUACGUAUCUAGAUUUGCUGCAAUUUAACAAAAAUACACACGUUGAGCUAGUGUUUGCAGCGAUUUAGUACUGUACUUUACAAGCGAGCAAACGUAUAGAGGAAGUAUUUCUAGUGUCUCUAGCGGUAGGUUCCAGCUAUUUAUAAUGUUUGUUAUUGGGUAGGUGACUUACGCGGUUAAUGUUGCUUUUCUUUUUUGGGGUUGUGUUACUGUUUGGCCUGUUUAUCGAGUUGCUUCUGGGCAUGGAGGGGUAAUUAGAAAAUAUGGAUAGGACUAGCUAAACUUCUUGAUAUAAAACCAAUUUAUUUUCAUAAGAGAAUCCCGCUACCAAAUAUUAUAUUCACGUUGAGGUGUGGACAGUCACUACUUGUAGCUAUUGCUUUUUUUUCAAGGAUUUUACUGACCGUGAGAAUCACAGGUAGGCGAUUGAAAAGUUGGCGAGGUGGAGAAGGGUACCUUACUACCCUGAUGUGUGUGUGUAUAUAUAUAUAUAUAUGGAUUACUUUGUUCUAAAAAGGUUUAUUAUGGUCUGAACGAUUUCCUACGUACGUUUUCUAAUAGUUAUCCACGGAUACUUAUCAUAAACCUCUUCUCCGUUUAAAGCUAAUUGACCUCAUGGCUUUUUAAUUGUUUUCAGUGCAUUGAUAUGUUCUCGACAGCUUAGCUAUUUGCCAUCCCUGUUAGUUUGGUUUUUAGCUUAUUGGUUCAGAAUGGAUGGUACCUUAGUAGAGGACCAUUCUUUAUGGUCUGAUUCAAAAACUGUUCCCUUGUCUGGAAACAUGAAAACAAGCGGUGUUGAAACUGAUGAGGUGUUUAGUGUAAACCAAGCACAGAUCAGUAAUGAAUGGCCUACUAACAAUGUGAAUCUACUAUGCCAUAGUAACACUACUGCGUUUAUCUCACCCACUACAACAAGGGGAGGUAAUUUAGAUGAAUCUACUUGGCCUAUUCUUUCUGAUUGUGAGCCAUUAAGCUUUUGCUCUGAUGAACAUGAAAACUAUGAUGAAAAUAUAAGUCGGUAUAAGUCCAUGUAUAUAAGUAAAUUCCGAAAAAUUGUAAAGGAGGAAUAUAUACGACAGUGUCGCCUUAGUUACUCAGUAUUCAGCACAAGACCUGUUGGAAAAACUUGUAAAGAUCCAUAUGCCAAGUGCAGGGAAAUAGGUGUUGAUUUUAAUGUUGGCUCUGGAGAGAAACAAAAGCUUGAUUUUCAUUUACUGACAAAUGAUUUAAUGGUUGAGAUUUCUCAAUAUGCUAAAGAGAUCAAUAGAGCUACCAUGAAUGUUAUUUAUGAUGUUUUAGAUUACAACUUUGAUCUUUCAGUUAAAAACGAAGACCAAGCUGUCUUUUGUAGACAGAUAGCGGCCAGAUUAAAGGUGAUGCGGAAGGUGCCAAGCAAGCAAAAAACUAAUUUGUGGUUAACAGAAGUGUUUAAUCUUCCUUAUUAUAAGAAAGUGACAAAAGCAAAAUGCUCUCCUGUAUUUUGGGCAAGGUCAGACUCUUCUUCUGAGGGAGAUAAUAUAAAUCAGCCAGAAUCAACAAUGGACCAAUCCUCCAUGAUGUCCCUAACAGAAGAAGCAUUGAGGUUCCUCUACCCUCUCUGUAAGGAAAAAGGAGUUGUCCUUGACACAAAAUCUAAAUGUAGGAAAAAUGAAAAACUUGACUUGCAGCUAUUGACCAGAGGAGUAAUGCUUGAAAUGGCUGAUUUUGCUUCACAAAUUGCUGGAAAUUACAAGGAGAUUGUCUGUGAUGUUCUAGAGCAAAAUUUUGAUCUGGACUUACGGAAUGGGAAAACAGAACUUGCUGCCCUUAUUAUGUCACAGUUAAGUACGUUUCAGCAGAGAAGUGUGGAUAGUUGGAAAUUUAGACUUGGAAAUAAAGCUUUCUUAGAGAAGCUAUGCAAACAAAGGACUCCAGAUAUUUCAAAGAAAAAAGUUACUAUACAAUCACUUGAGCAGAAAUAUCCAAGACUAAAAGAUGUAACCAGGAGGGGGAGGUUGGAUUUAGUAAGUAAAAAGGAAUGCAUAGAAAUAGCCAAGGGCUCAAAGGAAAAAAAGAUCAGACCAGUAGAUCCCAAAUGUGUCAGUUUAGAGAGCAUAUCUGAUGAGAUUGACAAUGGCCUUUAUGCUGAUGAAACCAGGCCAAUUGUUGUUACCACUGUUACAGACAAAUUGAAUAGGUGUAAAACCCAAAAAGUUACGAAAGUGUGCAACCAACUUUGUCAGGAAAUUGGUCUAGAUCUUGAUGUUAUUUCGAAACCUGCAAAAACUAAGCUGGAAUUGAAUUUACUGACUAAAGGUGUAAUUUCUGAGGUUCAUGUAUACUUGUCCAAGAUUCAUUGUUCUAGAGGGAAGCGAGCAAAUUCAGUGAGAUAUCCUGCAUCUGCACUCUAUGACAUUCUGGAAUACAAUUUUGAUCUUCCUUUUCAAAAGGAGUGCAGUUCUCAAUUUGCUGCUAGAUUUCGGGGUAGAGUGUAUGCAUUGUAUCAGAAACACUACAGAGUGCUCAAAACAAAGGGUAAAAUCUCAAAAGAAGUGUUUUCACUAUAUAGUGACACUCACAGCAAAGUAAAAAAAAAAAAGCUUUCAUAUUUUCCUGAAAUAUUGUCAAAAAGAAAUCUAAGGAAAAAACAAGUACCAGAUGGUAAAGACACUAUUUCUAUGGAGACAGUUUCAACUGCAGCAACAUUUGGCAAGGAUAAUGGAACUGUUGACUCUAUCUCCAUAAAGAAAGGACCUGAACUGGACAUAAUUUGUCAUCAGGAAGACUGGGUCGAGACUGAGAUCUCUGCUGAUGUCUCCAUAAAGAAAGAACCUGAACUGGACAUAAUUUGUCCUCAGCAAGACUGGGUCAAGACUGAGAUCUCUGCUGAUUUCUCAAUAAAGAAAGAACCUGAACUGGACAUAAUUUGUUCUCAGCAAGACUGGGUCAAGACUGAGACCUCUGCUGAUGUCUCCAUAAAGAGAGAACCUGAACUGGACGUGAUUCGUUCUCAGCAAGACCGGGUCAAGACUGAGACCUCUGCUGAUGUCUCCAUAAAGAAAGAACCUGAACUGGACGUGAUUCGUUCUCAGCAAGACCGGGUCAAGACUGAGACCUCUGCUGAUGUCUCCAUAAAGAAAGAACCUGAACUGGAUGUAAUUUGUCCUCAGCAAGACUGGGUCAAGACUGAGAUAUCUGCUGAUGUCUCAAUAAAGAGAGAACCUGAACUGGAAGUAAUUUGUCCUCAGCAAGACCGGGUCAAGCCUGAGAUCUCUGCUGAUGUCUCCAAAAAGGAAGAACCUGAACUGGAUGUAAUUUGUCCUCAGCAAGACUGGGUCAAGACCGAGAUGUCAACUGAGACAGAUCUUCACUCUGAGGUCCAAAUGGUUUAUUUCUGUGAAGAACAAAAUCCUUUAGGCGCAUCUGAAGAGACAUUAAUAAUUAGUUCAUGGCAUGGAUCAACAUCAAGUAACAGUUGUGAUAUUAGGAUUGAAAAUGUAUUCAGUGUUCAGCAAUCACCACUACUGACAGCAGAAACAGGUUGUAUUGACAUCCAAAGUAACCAUAGUUUACAAACAGAUGAAACACAAUAUGCCUAUGAAACGAGUGAAAUUGGCCAUGAAAAUGGAGCUGCUGUCAUCUGUAUGAUGAAAGAGCCUGAGCUAAACAAGUGUCCUCAUCAAGACGGAGUCAAGACGGAGACCCCAACUGAGACAGACAUAACAAUCUGUGCUGAUGAAAUGGCAUGCAGACUUGGAAUAAACACAUCGGUGCCCACGCUUAAAAAAGCAAUGGAGAACCUUCAUCCUGUCUGUAAGAAAAAAGGAAUUGACCUUGAUAUCCAAUCCACAUUUGGGAAAGAAGAGUCAGAUGUUACAUGGUGUGCUGGCAAUAAAAUCCUUGGCCUUGAAAAUGGGGCUAUUGAUGUAUGCACAAGAGAUGAGUCUGAUCUGGAUUUGAUCUAUCCACAACAUGUACAGGCGGAGACCUUCUCCACUCAGACAGAGGCAGCCAUGGACCUAUGGAACCCUGCUACGUUGUCUGAGCCAAAAUACCAAAGACAGAAAAAAAUAACAGAGGGACAGGAUUCAAGUAGUGCAAAUAAAAAAAUGGAUCAGUUUACAGCCAUGAAGAUAAGCAAUGCUGAAUUUGAAAGACCAGUUGAACCUCAAAACAGCAUGUCAGGGAGCAUCUCUGAUGUGCAUCAUCUCAGGAAAAGAAAAGCAGAGUUUCCUUUAUUGGAAAAUUCAAAACGAAAACGACCUGCUGGCAAAGACGAGUUGGAAGAUUCUGAUCUCUCAGUUAAUAGCCAGUUGCACAUUUGUAGAAAAUUUAUUAAAGACCUAAUGUGUGAUUCUGUGCAGCAGAAUAUGUGGAUUUUUUCCAGAUUUUCAAAAUGCUUUGUUGUUGAGAUUAGUUCUGAGAAUAAUUUCAAACAUAUCCUUGCUGAAUACAGAUCUGACAUCCUACCUCUCAUAAUUGAGGGGUAUGGUGCAAUGAAUCACUCUGAAAAGACUGUGAUUUCCCAUGUCAAUGAGCUCUUCUGUGGCUUACAUUUAAUUGAAGCCUUAGCUCGCCAGGUAAAAACAACUCUUCUACUCUGGGAAAAUAUAUUAGGAGUUAUGAAAUUAGAAUCCAGUAGCUUUCCGUCCAUUUGUAUGACUCCUUUGGAGGCUAGAACAGUGCGUUUGAUAAGAUCUGCAUGUGAUGUUGUCCAAGAACUUGGACGUCAAGAAGACUGUCAGUUAAUUAAUUUUGAAACUAUUUUGGUCAGCAAAACAGAAUUUCUUGAAGUGCCAUUAUCUCCAGCCAGUGGAGACAGAAUAGAUAGUUUGUUUUGUAAUGGGGCAGUGGUUUACUGUAUCUAUGAUGAUUUAGUUAAGUUAACCAAUAACCACAGAGCUGGGAAAGAUCUGCUUGCAGCAUUUAGUGCUGAUUUACAGGUUCCACAGUUGAAGGCAGGAUGCCGAGCUCUGGGUCUGAUUUCCAAGCUAAUCAUUGAUCCUCUAUGGGAAGCCCUGACCUCAAAGGGAGAUGUGUUAGGGAUGGAGCAAAGAUACCAAACACUUGUUAAGAAACUAAAGCAAUGGCAGGAUAAUGGGAGAGACGUAGUUGAAGGAACUGCACAGCUGUUUGAUGACAUUGAGGUAACCAAGGACCUUGUUUUUAACAGGCUCACCAUGUGUACGGAGACCGACCAUUUUGAAUUGACUGUUCAGGUUGUUGAGUUGAUCUUGGCAAGUAUUUUGGAGGUAUGUGUUAAAAUGCCUGUUGAUCUAGAGCCAGCUUCAGAUAUUCAUGAUCGAUGCAGACGUAAUUUUGUAGUUUUUGAAAGUCUUCAGAUGGCUAAAUCAAACGCUGUCAGUGUUGCAUUUGAAAUCUUUGACAUGUUCAAGAAUAAUAAAUCUUGGGAAUGGCUCCAGACUAUAGACAAAGGGAAAAAAAUGUCAGUUUUAAAAUCCCUGCAGCAAGCAGUUAAGCAACAGAGAAUUUUGUCUAAAGGAAAGAGGGCCAUUGAGCUCUUGGGAGUUUGUGGAAUGCAACGCGAAAGAGCAGUCAUGCUCAAGACUAGACAUGAUGUAGCCUAACUGAAUUACAGAACCUGGCUGAAGUGCGCAUUAAUAUCACAGUCAUGGUUUAAAUCUCAUUGUACCUGUAAAGCACUUUACAACCUUUUUUUUUUUUAAAGAUGACAAAUCAAGAAGAAGGCCAGCAUAUGUUUUUGGAUAUUGAAAUGGUCCAAUAUUUAUCCCAAAAAUUGCAUUGAGCAUACUCAUUAGUUUGCCUUUUUAUGUUGGUUGGCAUCUUUGUUUCAGUUGUUGGGGAUAUAAUUCUUUCCAGACUUUUACUAUCUAUAGUACAAAUUACAAAAACAAAUUGGUUUUUAUAGCCAAGAAAAAAACAAGGUGAAUAUGACUUGCUUGACUCAUUUGGUUGAGCAUGGCUUUUGUUACAUCAGGGUUGUGGGUUUGAUUCCCAGUGGGGGCCAGUGAAAAGAAGUAUGUAAGUUAAUGUAUUCACUCCUCUAAGUCGCUCUGAAUCAGAGCAUCUGCUAAUACUCUUAUAAUUAAAUGAAGUCCUCCAAGUAGCCUGGUACCUCAUUCUAAAGCGAUGAAACGCAUCCCAGCUUAAUCUCUAGAGGAAAAAAGCAAAGGUUCACCUUUCUACGUUCGGCAGACACAUUUAUGGUCUUCCUCAAGUCGAUUGACUCACUUGAUUCUGUUCCCCUUUAGAAGUGUCAUCCUCGGUUGUGUUCAUUUAAAAAUAAGUUGUAGUAAAACUUCUAAGGUUAGGUUACAUGGUGUCUUGAAUAAGUUCAGAAAUUAAUACUCAAGAUUGAGUUGUCUGGUUGUAUGAUUUAGUAGAAUAGGAAUGCCAAAAAUAAUUAGACUUUUUGUAUCAAAGGAUCAAUGUGUAGAAUUUUUUUCUCCAUGUUUUAGCUAAUGUGUUUGUCACCCCUUUUCUCCAAAUCCCAUUAAUGCCAGUGUUUCGCUUUUUGUCCACCAGUUUCAAAAAGCUGUAAAAUAUACAUAAGUCUGUUGCACAGUCCCGCGUCGAUAGUCCAGUAGAAGUUCUGCAUUUUACGAUAUGUUUUUAUACUAAUACUAUUACUGCAGGUAUAUUAUAGCCAUCAUAUUAUAUUGCAAGGCAGAAUGUGAAUGGAUUAGGCAAAUUUCCAUGGCCUCUGGUUAGUUAGCAAUUGAUAGAUUGAAUACAACUAGAGUAUUGAUUUUCCUCAUUGGCUAGCCUAACGCAUUUACAUUUAAAAGAAGAAAAUAACAUUUAUUUUCAGAUUUGACAGUAUGCUGAUUGGUGAAAUAAUUUACCAUGAUGGAUAUUUUUUUUUGGCAACAAUCUUUUAAAACUAUUUUUGUUAGCUUUUUUGUUUUGUUUAAUAACGACAUUAAGAAAAACAAUGCAUCGAGACUUCCUUCAAAUAGUUACCUGCACUUUCUUUGGACGUCAACUAUAAAGUGGAUUUUUUAUUUUUAUUUUUUUACUGGGACAUACCUGUUUUUAGGUGUUGCUAUGUCACCUGAAGCAUCUGGAUUACAAGGGACACAACUAUGUGAUGUGUUUCCAGCAUGGGUGUCCCUAAAUCAGCAUGGCCUUGGUCAUGGACAUUCCCUCUCCACAUUGGACUUAAUUAUUUUGACUUAAAACCCUUGAUGCCUUGAAGAGGCUCUACAUUAUUCCAUAUGCAGUGGUGUUUGUCAGCACAGCUACACUUGGCAACUGAACUUCUCGUCAUGAUGACAUGGUUGCAUUUCUGCUGUGCUGCCUCAGAACCACAGUUGUAGCUUCACUUGAACGGGAGCUGUCACUUAUUGAUUUGCAACAGGUCCUCUGUUUGCCGAUCUAAUGGGAUAUGAAAGUCUGAUACCAUCAUCAACUUGUGGACCUGACCUGAGGAUGUUUAACUCCACAGUUUCACCUUCUUCAGCCAUGUUGUUUUCCUUCAGACAGUUGGUCUUUGAAAUCCAUGCCAUAGGCUGACUUGAUGAAAUUAUUUACAUUUAAUUUUUAAAAGUUUUAAAAGACUCGCAGUGGCCUUUUGUGUGACUGGUAAUGAGGCCACAUAGGGGCCCCUGAAUGGCUGACCAGUUAGCUAUGUUACUGCCCGUCCAGAGUUUGAAUGCCCUGGUGUCCUAUGGAGGUUGCUGCAAUUGGCCAGCCAUCUGCACUUUUGGGGGUUAUUAAUCAAAUUUGAUUGUUGUCCCUCAUGAUGCUCCCGUAACUCCUUGUCAGGGCUGGUGCGUCAGAGGUCAUUCAAUAUUAAGGCCUGUGAAUGUGCUCCUUCCGGUGUGUAGAGAUGACGGUACUUUCUGGUUGAGCAAGCAAUGUCACAUGAACCAGCACCGCGGUCAGAUUCAUCUUCGGAGGACGCAUCUUGACACUGACUGUCCCGUGUUUGCUAGGAGUUACUGCAAUAAAGCAGGGCCUUAUACAAUUGCUGUAACAAGUUUGCUCCACAGAUUAUUUAAAGUAUGUUUCUGUUCUUCAUUUUUUAAUAAAUUUGCCCAAAAAUUACAUUUACAAA